This 672-nucleotide long non-coding RNA is filed under the name Homo sapiens (human). Its description in RNAcentral is "SAT1 divergent transcript (SAT1-DT)". The record is from RNAcentral. Lineage: Eukaryota; Metazoa; Chordata; Mammalia; Primates; Hominidae.
UUUCGCGGAGCCUUGGCGGAAACCCUACUGGGAGCCGGUGUGUCCCCCAGUAACAUUUGCAAAUGAAAGAAGAGGCGACCUGAUGUCUAAUGAUGACACUGCUCUUAUGACCAAAGGAAUGUGAGCUCGUAUAUUCUUUUAGAAUUUCCUAAGGCACUCAUGAAAGGUGGCCGGGUACCACUGUAUCAAUGGCCCAGUUGCCCAUCUCCUGGCGAGAGAUUUCCCUAAGUGACCUGGAAGUGUCACUAUUACCACCGCCCCACAUGAAUCUUGUGCUGGAGGCGACUAGAGCUGUGUGUCCCUCAGCAGAAGCAGGUGGCAUAAGCAAGAGUUCCAUUUUGGUUUCAUUUUCAGAGGACCCCAAUUGCGCAGUCUGCAAGAAAUAAUGUGCCUCUCAGGAUGGUUCCAAGCUGAGCCCAAAUCACUGAGGGAGAUUCACUGCUUGCUAACAUGAACUUUAUUCCUGGAUAAACAAGUCCCAAACCGUCUUGUCCAUAUGCCACCACGGUCAGGUCAAAACACACAUUAUCAGCUGGGUGCGGUGGCUCACGCUUGUAAUCCCAGCACUUCGGGAGGCCGAGGUGGGCGGAUCACUUGAGGUCAGGAGUUGGAGAUCAGCCUGGCCAACAUGGUGAAACCCCGUCUCUACUAAAAAUACAAAAAUUAGCCGGG